This 558-nucleotide small RNA is filed under the name Pongo abelii (Sumatran orangutan). RNAcentral's name for it is "retained intron". Lineage: Eukaryota; Metazoa; Chordata; Mammalia; Primates; Hominidae. The record is from RNAcentral.
AGCAGCUUCUUUCCUGAAAUCUUGGGACCAGGUGGAGUUGCAAGAUUGGGAUCUAGUCCUGGCUCUGCACAACAGCUGUGGAGCCUUGGGAAGCCAUUUGAAUCCUCUGGGUCCCCAGUUCUGUAGAAUGAGGACUGGACUUACAUCCAAUGUCCCUUCCAGCUCUGAUACCAGUGGUCUAACCCAAGGAAGCACCAGUCUUAGCAAGAGUGUCUUCUACCCUGAGCUGUCCCCAUGAUACCCUUGAGGUCAGCCAUGGCACUUGGGGGAGCCUGGCACCUGCAUCCAGUCGGCCCACCCUGUCCCUAGGGCUCUGGAAUUGGUGGUGGGCUGGAGGCAGUGCAGACUCUGUAGGGAAAAUUGGGGGGCAGGCAGCACUCAUUGGCUGUUCUGCCCAUCCUUUGUCCCUAGUACGCACCAGAAGGCGUCCAGAAGAUCCUUAUUGGGAAUAAGGCUGAUGAGGAGCAGAAACGGCAGGUGGGAAGAGAGCAAGGGCAGCAGCUGGCAAAGGAGUAUGGCAUGGACUUCUAUGAAACAAGUGCCUGCACCAACCUCAAC